This 661-nucleotide ribosomal RNA is filed under the name uncultured bacterium. RNAcentral describes it as "bacterial SSU rRNA". It matches the Rfam family "Bacterial small subunit ribosomal RNA", at positions 94 to 788 of the family's 1533-position model. The record is from RNAcentral.
AGUGGCGAACGGGUGAGUAACGCGUGAGUAUCUGCCCUUAGGAGGGGGACAACAGUUGGAAACGACUGCUAAUACCCCAUAUGUCUACGGAUGAAAGAUUUUAUCGCCUGAGGAUGAACUCGCGUCUGAUUAGCUAGUUGGUGAGGUAAUGGUUCACCAAGGCGACGAUCAGUAGCUGGUCUGAGAGGAUGAUCAGCCACACUGGGACUGAGACACGGCCCAGACUCCUACGGGAGGCAGCAGUGGGGAAUUUUCCGCAAUGGGGGCAACCCUGACGGAGCAAUACCGCGUGCGGGAGGACGGCCUGUGGGUUGUAAACCGCUUUUCUCAGGGAAGAAGACCUGACGGUACCUGAGGAAUCAGCAUCGGCUAACUCCGUGCCAGCAGCCGCGGUAAUACGGAGGAUGCAAGCGUUAUCCGGAAUUAUUGGGCGUAAAGCGUCCGUAGGUGGUUAAUCAAGUCUGCUGUUAAAGAGCGGAGCUUAACUCCGUUUAAGCGGUGGAAACUGGUUGACUAGAGAGUGGUAGGGGUAGAGGGAAUUCCCAGUGUAGCGGUGAAAUGCGUAGAUAUUGGGAAGAACACCGGUGGCGAAAGCGCUCUACUGGGCCACAUCUGACACUGAUGGACGAAAGCUAGGGGAGCGAAAGGGAUUAGAUACCCC